GAUGAACGCUAGCUACAGGCUUAACACAUGCAAGUCGCGGGGUAACAUCUGGUAGAGCUUGCUCUUCCAGGAUGACGACCGGCGCACGGGUGAGUAACGCGUAUCCAACCUGGCCCAUACCACGGGAUAGCCCGUCGAAAGGCGGAUUAAUACCGUAUGCUGUCAUUAAGAUGCAUAUAUUGAUGACGAAAGGACUGGCGGUAUGGGAUGGGCAUGCGGCGCAUUAGGUAGUCGGGGGGUGUAACGGACCACCGAGCCGACGAUGCGUAGGGGUUCUGAGAGGAAGGUCCCCCACACUGGUACUGAGACACGGACCAGACUCCUACGGGAGGCAGCAGUGAGGAAUAUUGGUCAAUGGUCGGAAGACUGAACCAGCCAAGCCGCGUGAAGGAAGAAGGUGCUCGGCAUCGUAAACUUCUUUGUCAGGGAACAAAGGGCGGUACGUGUACCGCUGUGAGUGUACCUGAAGAAAAGCAUCGGCUAACUCCGUGCCAG
This 495-nucleotide ribosomal RNA is filed under the name uncultured bacterium. RNAcentral's name for it is "bacterial SSU rRNA". It matches the Rfam family "Bacterial small subunit ribosomal RNA", at positions 28 to 511 of the family's 1533-position model. The record is from RNAcentral.